This 2019-nucleotide long non-coding RNA is filed under the name Salmo salar (Atlantic salmon). Its description in RNAcentral is "lncRNA (ENSSSAG00000116671.1)". Lineage: Eukaryota; Metazoa; Chordata; Actinopteri; Salmoniformes; Salmonidae. The record is from RNAcentral.
GCUUCCCGUUUAUUUUCAAUGGAAGGAAAGCGGUGAGAAGCGGAGAGGGCGGCGCGAAGGUGGCGUGGGAGGCGGUGAAAAGGUAAACUUAUCCCAACUUUAUGCAAAUCACCAGCAGCGACCGCUGGGCGAUGACCAAUCAUAUCGAGUGGUUUCCAUGACGAAUUUGACGCUAUGGGACCCAAGGCUGGAGACUUUCUUCAGCAAAGAUGGCUGACAAAAAUACUAAGAUGGUAGGAAAUGGACUCCUGAAACAACCAGCAAACCAGGCGGUCAUCUUGUUAAACAGUGGAUGUAAAGAAUCUAGCUAGCUAAAGCAUUUACUGCAAAUUGAAUGUACAAUUUUGUAAGCUUGCCUUGCUGAUAUUUGCCAUGCAAUGCAGAUGAAGUAAUGUAGCUAGCUAACAAUUUUAUUUUUGCUUAUUGCGCAGUGGAGGAUAAAAAAUACCUGUAUGCCAUAUUAGUUCAGAACCUAGCUAUGAACCUCAGCUUUCAUAGCCAGUUGUAUCAACUUCAAAACAGUCUGAAUGACAUUAAUGAAGCCUAUGGUUAAGUAGAAUAUAAUAUAACUUUGUACAAAGGAUGCCCACAUUGUAGCCUGUACUUUUUAAUAUAGUCACUGAUCAUGUACACUACCUUGGCAAAUAAAUGUGCAGCUCAGGUAUGAAUGUCUUUGAGAGAAUUUUUCAAUCAUAUCCAAUACCAGGAGUAUCAAAUUCCAGUCUUUGAAUGACUCUGUGUCUGCAUGUAUGAAUUACAAUUAUACACUUCAACAGUGUUUACCAAUCUUGGUCCUGGGACAUCAAUGGUUACACAUUGUAGCUAUGCAAUAGACUCCAAACAUGUUUUAACUAGUUAAAGGCUGAUUUGUAAUUCAUAUAUACAGAAAUAUAAUAAAAUAAACAGUACACUACACUUCCUAUGCAUCAUGUAAAACUGGUUCAUCUCAAUAUCUAAUUUCCUUCAUCUGCAUUGAUCUGACAAACACAGGAUAGGUGUAGUAUUUCAUCAAAUGAGAGACUUCAUUUCAACCAUUAGAGAAUGUGAAACGCUUUAUACCGGUACCCCCUGUAUAUAGCCUCGUUAUUGUUAUUUUAUUGUGUUACUUAUUAUUAUUAUUUUUUUAAUACUUUAGGUUUAUUUAGUAAAUAUUUUCUUAAGCGUAUUUCUUGAACUGCAUUGUUGGUUAAGGGCUUGUAAGUAGGCACUUCACGGUAAGGUGAAUCCAGCGCAUUGUUAAACCCAGACUUGGACCACACAUCCACUCCACUAGUGAUUGCUUUGCAAUGCUUGCAGUUACACACUGAUUCCUUCCAAACCACUCAUUGUUGAAUUUGCGAUUUCCAACUUGUUGUGUAAUAUUUAUGUCCAAUGGCCGAUGAGCACUGAAAAGUUUUAUCUGUAAUUUCUCUUCAUUAUUUCUCUUCAUAUAACAAGGAUUAAAAGGGAUUUGCCAGUAGAUUGUCGACUUGAUUCAUGAUGAUGACAGCUAGCUAAGAUUUUGAAAGUAUGAUGUCAGUCCAAUCAAAGCUACUGUAGAUAUAAGGUGAUUUGACGUAAUAGUAUCUGUGGUUGGGCACUUCAAAUUUAACUAUAUGGCAGCACCCAAGGAGCUUGAAUUUUCAAGCUCUCCCUGUAGAUUUUGAGGUGACGUAGUGUCCCCAUGAGAAACACCUGCAUUUUGGAGCUGCCUUCCCCCUCCCUGGCACUCGAAGGCACCAGGCUCCCCAGGAUUACGCACACAUGCCUGUUACAUUUAGGACAGAUUUGUCCUAAAUGUAACACUUUGUAUUCAGGAAUUGCUUUGCCACAUUUUUUGUAGUAUUACUUUUUGUGCCUUGUUGCAAACAGGAUGCAUGUUUUGGAAUAUUUUUGAUUCUGUACAGGCUUCUUUCUUUUCACUCUGUCAAUUAGGUUAUUAUUGUGGUAAAAUUAUUGUGGAGUAACUACAAUGUUGUUGAUCCAUCCUCAGUUAUCUCCUAUUACAGCCAUUAAACUCUGUAACUGUUUUAAAGUCAA